RNAcentral lists this ribosomal RNA (301 nucleotides) under uncultured bacterium. RNAcentral describes it as "partial 16S ribosomal RNA". It matches the Rfam family "Bacterial small subunit ribosomal RNA", at positions 509 to 807 of the family's 1533-position model. The record is from RNAcentral.
CAGCAGCCGCGGUAAUACAGAGGGUGCAAGCGUUAAUCGGAAUUACUGGGCGUAAAGCGCGCGUAGGUGGUUUGUUAAGUUGGAUGUGAAAGCCCCGGGCUCAACCUGGGAACUGCAUCCAAAACUGGCAAGCUAGAGUACGGUAGAGGGUGGUGGAAUUUCCUGUGUAGCGGUGAAAUGCGUAGAUAUAGGAAGGAACACCAGUGGCGAAGGCGACCACCUGGACUGAUACUGACACUGAGGUGCGAAAGCGUGGGGAGCAAACAGGAUUAGAUACCCCCGUAGUCCCUGUCUCUUAUAC